GACGAACGCUGGCGGCGUGCUUAACACAUGCAAGUCGAACGGAAAGGCCCUGCUUUUGUGGGGUGCUCGAGUGGCGAACGGGUGAGUAACACGUGAGUAACCUGUCCUUGACUUUGGGAUAACUUCAGGAAACUGGGGCUAAUACCGGAGAGGAGCUCCUGCUGCAUGGUGGGGGUUGGAAAGUUUCGGCGGUUGGGGAUGGACUCGCGGCUUAUCAGCUUGUUGGUGGGGUAGUGGCUUACCAAGGCUUUGACGGGUAGCCGGCCUGAGAGGGUGGACGGCGACAUUGGGACUGAGAUACGGCGCAGACUCCUACGGGCGGCAGCAGUGGGGAAUAUUGCACAAUGGGCGGAAGCCUGAUGCAGCAACGCCGCGUGCGGGAUGACGGCCUUCGGGUUGUAAACCGCUUUCGCCUGUGACGAAGCGUGAGUGACGGUAAUGGGUAAAGAAGCACCGGCUAACUACGUG
Molecule: ribosomal RNA, 468 nt
Filed under: uncultured bacterium
Lineage: Bacteria
Description: partial 16S ribosomal RNA
Rfam family: Bacterial small subunit ribosomal RNA
Source: RNAcentral